Molecule: ribosomal RNA, 439 nt
Filed under: uncultured bacterium
Lineage: Bacteria
Description: bacterial SSU rRNA
Rfam family: Bacterial small subunit ribosomal RNA
Source: RNAcentral
AACGCGAAGAACCUUACCCAGGUUUGACAUGUAGAGGACGGUAUCAGAGAUGAUGCCUCCCGCAAGGGCCUUUACACAGGUGCUGCAUGGCUGUCGUCAGCUCGUGCCGUGAGGUGUUGGGUUAAGUCCCGCAACGAGCGCAACCCUUGUCGUUAGUUGCCAACGCGUAAUGGCGGGAACUCUAACGAGACUGCCUAGGUUAACUAGGAGGAAGGUGAGGAUGAUGUCAAGUCCGCAUGGCCUUUAUAUCUGGGGUUACACACGUGCUACAAUGGUCGGUACAGAAGGUAGCAAGACCGAAAGGUGGAGCAAAUCCCUAAAGCCGAUCUCAGUUCGGAUUGGAGUCUGCAACUCGACUCCAUGAAGUUGGAAUUGCUAGUAAUGACGUGUCAGCAAUAACGUCGUGAAUACGUUCCCGGGCCUUGUACACACCGCGAGC